Molecule: long non-coding RNA, 347 nt
Filed under: Micromonas commoda
Lineage: Eukaryota; Viridiplantae; Chlorophyta; Mamiellophyceae; Mamiellales; Mamiellaceae
Description: long non-coding RNA (MCOM_LNC000491)
Source: RNAcentral
UUGGUUGCCGGGACGAAUCUACGGAAGAUGUAUUGAUAUAUAAUCGUCGAGGGUCGAGGAAUAUUCGAAACGACGUAGAAGUCACCGAGUUUUUAUCUAAGCAAUAUGGAGUGCAUGCAAAAGUGCUUUUCCCAAACCAGUUGUCUCCUGAGGAACAGAUUUGCGAGAUGACAAAGAGACGCAAAAUAAUCAUCACACCACACGGUGGGCAGCAGGGGUCCCUGAUAUUCAAACGAGCUGGGGUCGCCGUGGUGGUGAUAUCUCCUGAAGAGGCUUUGCUGGAGUGUUAUCGAUUUUUUUCACAUGAACAGGACCUCUGGUAUCAUGUUCGGGGAAAUGUGUCUUGG